GGUCCUGUGGUGUAGUGGUUAUCACGUUUGCUUUACACGCAGAAGGUCGCCGCUUCGAUCUCGGCCAAGACCU
This is a non-coding RNA of Parelaphostrongylus tenuis, 73 nucleotides long. The record is from the annotation of a GenBank genome assembly. Lineage: Eukaryota; Metazoa; Nematoda; Chromadorea; Rhabditida; Metastrongylidae.